AGUAACAGAUUGUUCCUGGCGGAACCUCUCAUGAAUUCUCUAAUAAAGGGGUUGUGGAUCCAAAUGACUACCACAAUAAAUCUCCCACUAUAGCAAUCCUAUGCAUUUCUACGCAGAAGUAAAUCUAUUUAAUUUACAGAUAAAUGAGUAUCGGUCAUGUCGUAAGACUGUCUUGUAUGGUAUUAAUAUCUUAAAUUUUAAAACGUAUAGUGCUAUAUAAUAGGUGUCCCAGACCUGGCUUCCUAGAGAUGCGUGGACUACGAAUCCGAUCCUCCCCAGGUAACAGGACCGAUCCAUCCGAGAGGGGCCAGGGAAGGCUGGAUUAAAUGAAGGCCACCGAUAAAAGAAGCCGAGGGACCUUUCAUUCUGCUUGUUAUUUAUGACUACCAGCUCCUGAAUGAGGGAGAGGAAUCAUCUCACAGUGGGGGGAGGUGCAGUCCUGUUUUCUAAGAGCGAUCGCACCUGAUCCCGGUGGCGAUGUCAAACUUUGUCAAGGAGUAAUCCUAAGGCAGGGGUGUGCGGUAUCUGUACUCGAAUAUAAGUCGGCAAGCUUGUGAGUCUUGCACAGCCCUUCAUCAGGCUAAGCAUCGCGGAGCUGAACCUGGGGCGGCGUAACACUGGCGAGUUUCUUUUAUUAAGGGGCCGUGGAUUUCUAACUCUCUCUAUUUGUGCAGCGUCUGCUCUUCCCUCGUCAAAAAGUACGACCGGGGCAUUUCGGAAUAAAAGGGAGAGCCCUCCCUUCCAGUCGGAUUUCCUCCUUAAUGUGUAAAGGGAGGUUUCGUAGAACGGUGCCGGUGCGAUCAGAGGCGCGCAGAGGCUGGACGUGGGGAGGGGAGGGGGGAGGCACGUUUACUUUUCCGAAGCGAUCCCCGUUUGCUCAGCCGGCUUUUACUCCCUGAGGGAAAAACCGUCCUGCCAAUGAAGGGUGCAAAACAGCGAUGUUUAAGCCUCAGGUCGACAUUUGACACCUCCACGGCGUGGAUGACAUCGAUCCUUGUAAUCACCGCGAUUUGGUGUCUUCAGAGCCGAGGCUUUUCUUGUAAAGAAAAACAUUUCAAGGAUUUCAUUUCAUAAAAGCCUUGAAAGUACCACAAGACUUUGUUAUGCAUCAUCAAGUUGGAACUGACUUACAGUGACUCUGAUAUGACUUUCAAGGUAAGUGAGAUAUUUACCAAUUCCAGUGAGUUUUCAUGGCUCAGUAGGGAUUCAAACCCAGACCUCAGAGUCCUAGUUAAUCACUCGACUCAUUAUCCACCACAAGAUUAGUUAGUAGAGUUCCCCCCCUCUGCAACAAAUAACAGGAUCCUUUUCUUCCAGAAAUUGAA
RNAcentral lists this long non-coding RNA (1325 nucleotides) under Pogona vitticeps (central bearded dragon). RNAcentral describes it as "lncRNA (ENSPVIG00000016379.1)". The record is from RNAcentral. Lineage: Eukaryota; Metazoa; Chordata; Lepidosauria; Squamata; Agamidae.